AACGAACGCUGGCGGCAUGCCUAACACAUGCAAGUCGAACGAAGGCUUCGGCCUUAGUGGCGCACGGGUGCGUAACGCGUGGGAAUCUGCCCUUUGGUUCGGAAUAACAGCUGGAAACGGCUGCUAAUACCGGAUGAUGACGAAAGUCCAAAGAUUUAUCGCCAGAGGAUGAGCCCGCGUUGGAUUAGGUAGUUGGUGGGGUAAAGGCCUACCAAGCCGACGAUCCAUAGCUGGUCUGAGAGGAUGAUCAGCCACACUGGGACUGAGACACGGCCCAGACUCCUACGGGAGGCAGCAGUGGGGAAUAUGGGACAAUGGGCGCAAGCCUGAUCCAGCAAUGCCGCGUGAGUGAUGAAGGCCCUAGGGUUGUAAAGCUCUUUUACCCGGGAAGAUAAUGACUGUACCGGGAGAAUAAGCCCCGGCUAACUCCGU
Molecule: ribosomal RNA, 432 nt
Filed under: uncultured bacterium
Lineage: Bacteria
Description: partial 16S ribosomal RNA
Rfam family: Bacterial small subunit ribosomal RNA
Source: RNAcentral